GAUGAACGCUGGCGGCGUGCCUAAUACAUGCAAGUCGAGCGAACAGACGAGAAGCUUGCUCCUCUGACGUUAGCGGCGGACGGGUGAGUAACACGUGGAUAACCUACCUAUAAGACUGGGAUAACUUCGGGAAACCGGAGCUAAUACCGGAUAAUAUAUUGAACCGCAUGGUUCAAUAGUGAAAGACGGUUUUGCUGUCACUUAUAGAUGAAUCCGCGCCGCAUUAGCUAGUUGGUAAGGUAACGGCUUACCAAGGCAACGAUGCGUAGCCGACCUGAGAGGGUGAUCGGCCACACUGGAACUGAGACACGGUCCAGACUCCUACGGGAGGCAGCAGUAGGGAAUCUUCCGCAAUGGGCGAAAGCCUGACGGAGCAACGCCGCGUGAGUGAUGAAGGUCUUCGGAUCGUAAAACUCUGUUAUUAGGGAAGAACAAAUGUGUAAGUAACUAUGCACGUCUUGACGGUACCUAAUCAGAAAGCCACGGCUAACUACGUG
RNAcentral lists this ribosomal RNA (497 nucleotides) under uncultured bacterium. Its description in RNAcentral is "partial 16S ribosomal RNA". It matches the Rfam family "Bacterial small subunit ribosomal RNA", at positions 28 to 507 of the family's 1533-position model. The record is from RNAcentral.